UACAACUUUCAACAACGGAUCUCUUGGCUCUCGCAUCGAUGAAGAACGCAGCGAAAUGCGAUAAGUAAUGUGAAUUGCAGAUUUUCAGUGAAUCAUCGAAUCUUUGAACGCACCUUGCGCCCCUUGGUAUUCCGAGGGGCAUGCCUGUUUGAGUGUCAUU
Molecule: ribosomal RNA, 160 nt
Filed under: uncultured Tylospora
Lineage: Eukaryota; Fungi; Basidiomycota; Agaricomycetes; Atheliales; Atheliaceae
Description: 5.8S ribosomal RNA
Rfam family: 5.8S ribosomal RNA
About the family: 5.8S ribosomal RNA (5.8S rRNA) is a component of the large subunit of the eukaryotic ribosome. It is transcribed by RNA polymerase I as part of the 45S precursor that also contains 18S and 28S rRNA. Functionally, it is thought that 5.8S rRNA may be involved in ribosome translocation.
Source: RNAcentral